UUCUUCCCCAGUAGUGAAAGGGACAUGAAAUGUUGCACACCAGACAGUCCUCCGGAGGGUCCCCGGGAAAAUCUCACCAGUAGCUGCUGAGAUCCUCCUGAAGAGUGUCUCGUCGCAAGCCGCUGACCACAGCACCAUCCUGGUCUCUCCUGGCUGGCUUGCCAAACUUUGUUCCUGGACCAAACUGAGGGUCGGGCUGCUAUUUCUUGUGGCCCAAUAACCACAUGCAGAUGAACUGGGGAGGAAGAGAGUUUUUAUUUCAGUAACCAGUUACAGGGAGAAGGCCGGGAAAUUAUCGCCAGACCAACUCAAAAUUACAAAGUUUCCCAGCACUUAAAUACCUUCUAAGCUAUAUGUCUACGUAUAAAUGUGCAUUCAUCUAAAGACGGUCUUCACAGGAGCCCAGGAAAAGCUGGUGUCAGAGAAAGACCCCAGGCAAUCAGAGCCACACCCUUCCCAGAGGUGCCAGGAUCCUCCUACACCCAGGUUGUGCUAGGGCCAGUUCUCCUAACAAGAAGAGAAAGCCUCGGACCCCAAAGACAGCCUUUGUGCAGGACGGAACCACCCACCCAGGUCGGCCCAUUGCAGAAGGAGGCAGCCAGAGCCCAGUGAGGAGGGGAGGCCACCAGGCCAGGGAGCAAGCGUCUCCCAGAGGUGUCGCUUUCCCUCAAGAUCCAAUUAUCCAUGACAUUUCAGGAAGGUAUAUCCAUCACCUAGGAGGUUCCUCUGGGCGACCACUGGCUACCUUCGGCCACAAACCUUUCUGGUUAAAAACAUGAGGAAGUUUAAAAAAUGCAUGACACUUUUCAACUUUUAAAAUUGCUAACUAUGAAGUUCUAAUGUUUGGAGACCUUUAUGAUGACCCAACUCCACCUAAUGAAUAGCGAAUAUGUUUUCUCCUCCCUAUGACUUUUUUAAUAACCUGUUCUUUAC
RNAcentral lists this long non-coding RNA (933 nucleotides) under Homo sapiens (human). RNAcentral's name for it is "HSALNT0117145". Lineage: Eukaryota; Metazoa; Chordata; Mammalia; Primates; Hominidae. The record is from RNAcentral.